This 287-nucleotide ribosomal RNA is filed under the name Bacteroidales bacterium. RNAcentral describes it as "partial 16S ribosomal RNA". It matches the Rfam family "Bacterial small subunit ribosomal RNA", at positions 1 to 277 of the family's 1533-position model. Lineage: Bacteria; Pseudomonadati; Bacteroidota; Bacteroidia; Bacteroidales. The record is from RNAcentral.
AAACAACGGAGAGUUUGAUCCUGGCUCAGGAUGAACGCUAGCGACAGGCUUAACACAUGCAAGUCGAGGGGCAGCGGGGAUGUAGUAAUACAUCUGCCGGCGACCGGCGCACGGGUGAGUAACACGUAUGCAACCCACCCUCAGCAGGGGGAUAACCCGGAGAAAUCCGGCCUAAUACCGCGUACACCUCCGCAGAGACAUCUCUGUGGAGGGAAAGGAGAGAUCCGGCUGAGGACGGGCAUGCGUCGCAUUAGGUAGACGGCGGGGUAACGGCCCACCGUGCCGAC